RNAcentral lists this long non-coding RNA (765 nucleotides) under Homo sapiens (human). RNAcentral's name for it is "HSALNT0299030". The record is from RNAcentral. Lineage: Eukaryota; Metazoa; Chordata; Mammalia; Primates; Hominidae.
GCUGACAACCACCAGAAGCUGGGAGAGAGGCACGGAAAAGAUUCUCCCUCAGAGCCUCAGAAGGAACCCACUGGACUAACACCUUGACUUUGGAUUUCUGGCUGCUGGGACAAUGACGGACUGACAUGUUCCUCCGGCUCUGCCACACCCAUCAGAUGGCAGGUGGGGAGCAGAUUAAGACAUGGGCAUUCGCAGGGUGCACAGAACGCUGGCUUACAAACACCUCCUCUCAUAGGCAUGCAGGGUCUCGCUGUGUCACAGAAGCUGGAAUGCAGUGAUGCAAUCUUGGCUCACUGCAACCUCCACGUCCUGGGUUCAAGCUAUUCUCCUACCUCAGCUUCCUGAGUAGCUGGGACUAUGGACAUGUGCCACUACAGCUGGAUAAUUUUUGUAUUUUUAGUAGAGAUGGGGUUUCAGCAUGUUGACCAGGCUGGUGUUGAACUCCUGACCUCAGGAGCACCCAGAUUCAAAAAGCAAGUUCUUAGAGACCUACAAAGCGGCUUAGACUCCCACACAAUAAUAGUGGGAGAUUUUAACACCCCACUGUCAAUAUUAGAAAGAUCAACGAGACAGAAAAUUAACAAGGAUAUUCAGGACUUGAACUCAGCUCUGGACUAAGCGGACCUAAUAGACAUCUACAGAGCUCUCCACCCCAUCACAAACUUAAUCCAUCACAUAAAUACCAAAUACAUUCUUCUCAGCACCUCAUCACACUUAUUCUAAAAUUGACCACAUAAUUGGAAGUUAAACACUCCUCAGCAAAUG